RNAcentral lists this ribosomal RNA (253 nucleotides) under uncultured bacterium. Its description in RNAcentral is "partial 16S ribosomal RNA". It matches the Rfam family "Bacterial small subunit ribosomal RNA", at positions 524 to 776 of the family's 1533-position model. The record is from RNAcentral.
UACGAAGGGGGCUAGCGUUGCUCGGAAUCACUGGGCGUAAAGCGCACGUAGGCGGCUUACUAAGUCAGGGGUGAGAUCCUGGAGCUCAACUCCAGAACUGCCUUUGAUACUGGUGAGCUUGAGUCCGGAAGAGGUGAGUGGAACUGCGAGUGUAGAGGUGAAAUUCGUAGAUAUUCGCAAGAACACCAGUGGCGAAGGCGGCUCACUGGUCCGGUACUGACGCUGAGGUGCGAAAGCGUGGGGAGCAAACAGG